RNAcentral lists this ribosomal RNA (253 nucleotides) under uncultured bacterium. RNAcentral describes it as "partial 16S ribosomal RNA". It matches the Rfam family "Bacterial small subunit ribosomal RNA", at positions 524 to 776 of the family's 1533-position model. The record is from RNAcentral.
UACGUAGGUGGCAAGCGUUGUCCGGAUUUACUGGGUGUAAAGGGCGUGCAGCCGGGAAGACAAGUCAGAUGUGAAAUCCCGCGGCUCAACCGCGGAACUGCGUUUGAAACUGUUUUUCUUGAGUACCGGAGAGGUCAUCGGAAUUCCUUGUGUAGCGGUGAAAUGCGUAGAUAUAAGGAAGAACACCAGUGGCGAAGGCGGAUGACUGGACGGCAACUGACGGUGAGGCGCGAAAGCGUGGGGAGCAAACAGG